RNAcentral lists this ribosomal RNA (460 nucleotides) under uncultured bacterium. RNAcentral's name for it is "partial 16S ribosomal RNA". It matches the Rfam family "Bacterial small subunit ribosomal RNA", at positions 338 to 795 of the family's 1533-position model. The record is from RNAcentral.
CCUACGGGAGGCAGCAGUGAGGAAUAUUGGUCAAUGGGCUUACGCCUGAACCAGCCAAGUCGCGUGAGGGAAGACUGCCCUAUGGGUUGUAAACCUCUUUUGUCAGGGAGCAACGCCGGCUACGUGUAGCCGGACUCCGAGUACCUGAAGAAAAAGCAUCGGCUAACUCCGUGCCAGCAGCCGCGGUAAUACGGAGGAUGCGAGCGUUAUCCGGAGUUAUUGGGUUUAAAGGGUGCGUGGGCGGAAUGCCAAGUCAGCGGUAAAAUCGCGGGGCUCAACCUCGGUACGCCGUUGAAACUGGCGUACUUGAGUGGGCGAGAGGUAAGCGGAAUGCGUAGUGUAGCGGUGAAAUGCGUAGAUAUCACGCGGAACACCAGUUGCGAAGGCAGCAUACCGGAGCGCAACUGACGCUGAAGCACGAAAGCGUGGGUAUCGAACAGGAUUAGAUACCCUUGUAGUC